CUUGAGCGAGCCGAGCAGCAGCGGCCGGUCUUCGGCCCUGUCCUGACCGUACGUCGCGAGCAGCGCUUCCGCCUC
Molecule: antisense RNA, 75 nt
Filed under: Streptomyces sp. NRRL S-4
Lineage: Bacteria; Bacillati; Actinomycetota; Actinomycetes; Kitasatosporales; Streptomycetaceae
Description: ASpks sRNA
Rfam family: ASpks TB sRNA
Source: RNAcentral